CUUGCAGUCACAACACGCGGGUCCCUGGUGUUCAUUCAAUUUUCAAGGUCGAUCUAUCUGUUGGUACAGUUGCCCAUAUGAACAAGAUAUCUUUGUGUGUGCACUGUUGCUGUUUUAAAUCCUCUAAUUUGCAUUUAAAAGAAUGUAGGAGUUGAGAGAAAAACUGGGGUCAAUGCAAAUGGGGUGGAUUUUAAGCCGGAAGGACAUUUGGGUUUGGACAUUUUAUUAAAACUGACAGCAAUGCCAGCAUUUCCGGAAGUCUGCCACAAAGGGGAGGGGAAAGGGGAAAGGAAAUGAAGACCGAAGAAGAGCAGAAAGAGAGGCAGCAGGGAAAAAUAGAAGGCACUGUGACAAUUCAUUGGGAGAUACAGUAAACCUGGAUAUAGUCACCAAAGUGUAUAGGCAGAGACUAAAGAUCGCAGCAUCAGUGGUGGCCAAGGGACAUGGAGGAACGCUUACAGGACUGCUUUGAGUGAAUGGACUGGACAAUAUUCAGGGAUUCAUCUUUGAGACUGAAUGAAUACACCACAGUUGUCACACACUUCAUCAAGAGUGGAUGAGUGUGUGCCUUCAAGAACAUACCAGCCAUAUU
Molecule: long non-coding RNA, 592 nt
Organism: Hypanus sabinus (Atlantic stingray)
Lineage: Eukaryota; Metazoa; Chordata; Chondrichthyes; Myliobatiformes; Dasyatidae
Exons: 3
Source: RefSeq, a predicted model, not a curated record